ACGGAGUAAGUAAAAUAACGU
Molecule: non-coding RNA, 21 nt
Filed under: Arabidopsis thaliana (thale cress)
Lineage: Eukaryota; Viridiplantae; Streptophyta; Magnoliopsida; Brassicales; Brassicaceae
Source: RNAcentral